AUAAACACAAUUAUAUGAUAUUUAUGCAUAGAAAAUGUUAAUUCUUGAUCUUAUACUUCACCUAACUAAUUUUAUGAUAUUUUAGGUUCAUGCUAUUGAUAUUGAACAAAAAGAGGUUGUUGCUAAGAAGACUGCUGCUAGCAAAAAAAACAUACAUCUCAGAGAUGCUUUUGCUACUUAGUUUUAUUUCUUUUUAAGUUAUGAAUUGGUUGUAUAU
Molecule: long non-coding RNA, 217 nt
Filed under: Lathyrus oleraceus (garden pea)
Lineage: Eukaryota; Viridiplantae; Streptophyta; Magnoliopsida; Fabales; Fabaceae
Description: Pisum sativum (pea) long non-coding RNA (PSAT_LNC026217)
Source: RNAcentral